UUUGGUAACCUUUGCGGGAUUUGUGUUUCGGCCACAAGUAGGAGUUUGUCGGAUCUCUACCAAAG
Molecule: transfer RNA, 65 nt
Filed under: Azygia robusta
Lineage: Eukaryota; Metazoa; Platyhelminthes; Trematoda; Azygiida; Azygiidae
Description: tRNA-Arg
Source: RNAcentral